Molecule: transfer RNA, 88 nt
Filed under: Flavobacteriales bacterium
Lineage: Bacteria; Pseudomonadati; Bacteroidota; Flavobacteriia; Flavobacteriales
Description: tRNA-Ser
Rfam family: tRNA
About the family: Transfer RNA (tRNA) molecules are approximately 80 nucleotides in length. Their secondary structure includes four short double-helical elements and three loops (D, anti-codon, and T loops).
Source: RNAcentral
GGAGAGGUGGCCGAGUGGCUGAAGGCGCACGCCUGGAAAGUGUGUAUACUCUAACCGAGUAUCGGGGGUUCGAAUCCCCCUCUCUCCG